This 73-nucleotide transfer RNA is filed under the name Lophosaurus boydii (Boyd's forest dragon). Its description in RNAcentral is "tRNA-Asx". It matches the Rfam family "tRNA". From Rfam's summary of the family: Transfer RNA (tRNA) molecules are approximately 80 nucleotides in length. Their secondary structure includes four short double-helical elements and three loops (D, anti-codon, and T loops). Lineage: Eukaryota; Metazoa; Chordata; Lepidosauria; Squamata; Agamidae. The record is from RNAcentral.
GGGGUUGAUGCUUAUUGGUUAGGCGAGCUAGCUGUUAAUUAGUGUUGUGUAGGAUCGAAGCCUUCCAGUCCCU